GAUGAACGCUGGCGGCGUGCCUAAUACAUGCGAGUCGAGCGAACAGACGAGGAGCUUGCUCCUUUGACGUUAGCGGCGGACGGGUGAGUAACACGUAGGUAACCUACCUAUAAGACUGGGAUAACUUCGGGAAACCGGAGCUAUUACCGGAUAAUAUUUCGAACCGCAUGGUUCGAUAGUGAAAGAUGGCUUUGCUAUCACUUAUAGAUGGACCUGCGCCGUAUUAGCUAGUUGGUAAGGUAACGGCUUACCAAGGCAACGAUACGUAGCCGACCUGAGAGGGUGAUCGGCCACACUGGAACUGAGACACGGUCCAGACUCCUACGGGAGGCAGCAGUAGGGAAUCUUCCGCAAUGGGCGAAAGCCUGACGGAGCAACGCCGCGUGAGUGAUGAAGGUCUUCUGAUCGUAAAACUCUGUUAUUAGGGAAGAACAAACGUGUAAGUAACUGUGCACGUCUUGACGGUACCUAAUCAGAAAGCCACGGCUAACUACGUG
This 497-nucleotide ribosomal RNA is filed under the name uncultured bacterium. RNAcentral describes it as "partial 16S ribosomal RNA". It matches the Rfam family "Bacterial small subunit ribosomal RNA", at positions 28 to 507 of the family's 1533-position model. The record is from RNAcentral.